Molecule: non-coding RNA, 4441 nt
Organism: Rattus norvegicus (Norway rat)
Lineage: Eukaryota; Metazoa; Chordata; Mammalia; Rodentia; Muridae
Source: RefSeq, a predicted model, not a curated record
CAGAAUAAAUGGACGUAAAAACUAGUCCCUUAAAAUAGCCCAAGUUCCUCAAAACCCAUCCAGCCAGACUUGUAAACAGGCGAUUGAGAUGCUGAAACUGCUUCAAGACAGAUGUCUUUUUAAACAGUGUUCAGGAUUCCUUCUGGGGCUCCUAGUUACGCAGUUCCUCAAGCAAGAGGCACUUUAUCUUCAGACAUCUGCAACUGUCAGAGAGGUGGUGUGGCAGCACAGAUGUGGGGCCUUGUGCAUUAAAGCUCACAGGCACAUCCUGACCACCAUCUCAGAGCAAACAGUUGGUGGGCAGCUCAGGGGAGAGCUAUGCUCCUGUGGACUCACUAUGACCAGCCUCUGCCCCUGCUCUGCUGAGCCUCUCUCUUUGCCGAGUGGCUAAAACCUGUAAUUUCUGGUUUUCUUGCUAUGUAGUGCAGGCUGACCUUGAACUCACAGAGAUUUGACUGCCUCUGUCUUCUUAGUACUGGGAUUAAAGGUAUGUGCCUAUACCCUGACACUUGGUUUAUUUUCUCAGCUUUUAAGAGUGGCUGAGAGCUGGGGAAUUGGCUCAGGCAAUAAAGUGCUGGCUGUGCGAGUGUGAGGACCUGAGUUCGUUCUCCAGGACCUAUAUGAAAAAUAAACAAGCAAGCAAGCCAUCAGCAACAGCGAGGAGUGGGGUAGCAGGCUUGGGAUCCCAGCCUUUCAAGAGACAGAGAUAGGUGGGUUCCCUGAGGAAUGGCAGCCAGUGUAGCCAUCAUGAGAUGUUCCAAGACAGUGAGAGAUCAUGUCUCAGAAAACAAGAUGAAUAGAUCCAGAGGAAGAACAUCUGAGUGGACCUCUAGCCUCUAAGCUUACAUGCACCUGCAUAACACUCGAACAUGCACACACACACACACACACAAUGUGAUUGACAGGGUCCUCUCCUGUUUCCUGCAGGGGUAAAAUUUCUUUUAUCUCAUCAAAAUAUAGCCCCGACACACACAGACAUGCUUGGUUAAAUUUGUAAUAUUAGCCCCCAAAUAUCUCCGCACUUACUUGCCUAGAUCCUUCCACUAAUUUGAUGGGGAUGAUUUUGGGACAGAUGACAGGGAGACACCGACAGCUCUCUGUUAAUAUGAAAGGGACCACUGUAGCACCUCUUUUCUUUCCCAUGGUAGGUAACGCCUCAUGCUUAAGUGAGACCCAAGUGGGUUACCCCACAUAGCUGGAACUCUGAGGAAUCAGCCCGUCAUUAAGAAGCAGAGUGCUGGUACACAGUUCAGUGGUAGAGCAACUGCCUGGCAUGCACCGAGUCCUGGAUCAGAUCUCCCAUCCCCAAACCAAAGCAAGCAACCUAACCCACAAGAUCUAAUGGUAUCUUCAUAUAGCAUUUCAGAGACAAAGGAUUAAAAUUGUUUUAAAAACCGUAGCCCAAGGGGGCUGGUGAGAUAGCACAGCAGCUAAGAGACCCACGUACAGUUCUCAGCACCUGGAUGGCUUGCAACUGCCUGCAACACCAGCUCCAGGGGAUCUGCUAAUGUCUUUUGGUCUCGAAGGCACCUACACUCACUUGCAUGCACACCUACAUUUUAUUUGAAAAUGUAAUGUGUUUUCAAAACGAAGAACUGUGGGUCAAGACCAUAUCUGAACCUUGAAUGCAGGCCUAUCCGGGGGUUUAGUGGAAGAAAUAAAGAAGAGAACUCACCAAGAACUAAGCUAGAAAGUCACACCGUCUUCUUACCAGUUGUAGUAAUAAAAUCAAUACUGUUGAAAAUAAUGAAAGUUUUGAGGGUCAUUAAUCAGUUAAAAUAUUUUUUUUUGCAAUGGGGAGAGUCUUAUCCAUCUCAGGCAAGUGUAUUAUCAUUGGUCUACACCCUUAGUCUUGCUAUUGGUGUGGUGCAGUGGUGUGUGUGUGUGUGUGUGUGUGUGUGUGCUCAUGUGUGUAGGCCUGUGUGAACAUGUGUGCACCUGCAUGAAGGUCAGAUGGCAACUUUGGGUGUUGAUUCUUGAGGAAUAGUCUACUCUUUGUGUGUGUGUGUGUGUGUGUGUGUGUGUGUGUGUGUGUGUGUGUUUUGGGGGGUAUCUCACUGGCCUGCAAUUCAUCAGGUAGACUGGCUGACUGGCCCGAAAGUCCCUCAGGGAUCCACCUGCCUCCAUCUCCUGUGUGCUGGGAUUGUAGGAUUUGACACCAUGUCCAGUCUUUAUGCACUAGUUCUAUGGGUAGAACUCAAGUCUUCCUGUUUGCUUGACAAGAACUUUGUUGAUCAAGCCAGAUCCCCAAUCCUUUUGUCAGUUUUAUUAAGGAGUUUCCCUUGGUGGGAAGUUAAAAUUUGCUGUGGGGGCCUUUACAUUCUCCGAACAGUUCUUGGUCGACAGCUGCUUGUAGCAAAACCCUUCCAGAGUUAGUGUACAAUCUCUGUCCUCACUGUUGGCUUCGUUCAUCCAUAGUGACAUUCUGGCCACUAAAAACAUCAUUUAAAUUAAUUUCCUGGCCAAUAGAAUGCGGCUUCCUGGAAUUUGAGCUAUGUGUGUUGCCUGGACCAUGUUAGGGCUGAAGCAACUGGGCCAGGCAUGGCCUAGGGUACAAAGAGGUGGUGAUUAAUUUAGGGGUCAAGUGUUCAAACAUCUGGCGCCCGUAGACUGCUUGCUUCAGUUCAGACACCUCUGCUUGGGAAGCAGGAGCAGCGGCGAGCCCCCCUGCUGUCCUUAUUUUCAGCCUAGUUGCCUGGUGCUCUGCCCUUCAGCUUCUCUGAGACACAAGCCCAAGGGAGAACGUACACUGCAGUUUGUACCACCCUGUGGUGACUUUAUGCUAUGACAUACACUCUCUCCACUAGCCUUCUUAAUCUACUGCUAGCUCCAAGGGUCACAAUUUAGCUUCCUUCCCAUGUCCAGACAUUUUGGAGGGGCUUGGUCAAACCUGAAGUGGGUUUCCCUGUCUUUAAGGACCCUGAGAAUCACCUGUGCUGAACUCUGGAUGCCACUAUGGUUUCUCCUAUUUUGUAAGGAAUUAACCAGCACCAGACCAACCCAGAAUGAGGGUGCUUCAGACAUGGCUCAGCAGGGUCUCAGGUAGCCCAGGCGGACUUUGAACUCACUAUGUAGCUGAACUCCGGGGGCUCCCUACUUCACGUCUGAAGUGUCGGGAGGAGAUAUGUACACCGCCAUGCUCGGCUUGUGCAGGGCUGUGGAUGGAAUGGAUGGCUUUGUGGAUGCUUGGCUAAACUCUUCUCUGAGCCUUUUUCCUCAUCUUCAAAGACCAGGGAACUUUCUAGGAUGAAAGAAAUGAUUAAACAGUGCUGGAGACAGUGUACUGGCUCCGUGCCUGCCACCCAGCAGGGACUUAAUAAACAGUGAGCUUUCUGCUACCUGCAGGGAAAUCCAGGUGAAAGAAAUGCCAAACUAAGGCUGGCGGGGUAUGCAUGACUAGAUUGGGGUACUGCAUCAUAGCCACCACGACCCAUCCUUAAAUGGUGCAUGCGUAUGGUUAAUCUCAAUUAGAUCUGCAGGAUCUAGAGCAGUGGUUCACAAGCUUCAUGAUUCUGGGAUCCAUUAAUAAAGUUCCUUAUGUUGUGGUGACCCCUGGCCAUAAAAAUAUUUUUGUUGCUAUUUCAUAACUAAUUUUGCUACUGUCAAAAAAUCCUAAUGUAAAUAUCCGAUAUGCAGGACAUCUGAUAUUCAACCCUAGUAAGGGGUUGUUCCAGCUCCAACGGAGUUGAGAUUCACAGGUUAAGAACUGCUGAUCUAGAACCCUCCUUGAGCCAGGCCUCUGGAUAUACCAGUGAGAUAUUAUCUACAUUAGGUAAACCUCAAGGCCUGCCUGUAAGGGAUUUUCUUGAUUAGGUUAAUUAAAGUGGGAAGCCCCACCCUAAAUUUGCAUGGUACCUUCCUGAAUGUAGAGUCCUAGUGAAAUGCUUUUAAUAUUUUGCCUUCUUGCCUUUGUCUCUUUCUGGCAAGUGCCUCUGCCAGUGCUGCUGCCACUGCUUCUGUUGCCACCGUCCUUCCUUGACAUAGAACCCAGUUUCUUUGGACUUAUAGCCUGGGCUGAAGAGCCAUGAGUAUCCAAGAAUCCUCCAAGCCUUUGGCAACAGGUUGGGAUGGCUGAGUCAUGCGAGUUCACGGCUGAGCAACCCCUGAAUCUUCACUCUCUACAGUGUGAAGACGGCCAUUGUUGGAAUACCUAGCUCUUAUUGUGUAAGCUAAUUGAAUAAAAUCCCCUUUCAAUAUGCAUUCACUUUAUUGGUUUGUUCCUCUGGAGAAGCCUGACUGAUACACAUUGGUCUCAGAUACCAGCAUCACCCUCAAGGAGCUCCUUCCCACAGCCUGGCUGGGAUCUGGGUAAAGGGAUGCCAGAGUUUUUCUCUGUCUGUUUUUCCCAUCCCCACAUCCAUCGCUUUCCUUCUCUGCUUUUUACCUCAUGGAUAUGGAUCGCUACUCUUGGAUCCCUUUCCCUGCCUAGGUUGGGGCAAUC